This 253-nucleotide ribosomal RNA is filed under the name uncultured bacterium. Its description in RNAcentral is "partial 16S ribosomal RNA". It matches the Rfam family "Bacterial small subunit ribosomal RNA", at positions 524 to 776 of the family's 1533-position model. The record is from RNAcentral.
UACGUAGGCAGCGAGCGUUGUUCGGAGUUACUGGGCGUAAAGGGUGCGUAGGCGGCUUUUUAAGUUUGGUGUGAAAUCUCCCGGCUCAACUGGGAGGGUGCGCCGAAUACUGAGAGGCUAGAGUGUGGGAGAGGAAAGUGGAAUUCCUGGUGUAGCGGUGAAAUGCGUAGAUAUCAGGAGGAACACCGGUGGUGUAAGCGGCUUUCUGGACCAUAACUGACGCUGAGGCACGAAAGCGUGGGUAGCAAACAGG